This 1449-nucleotide ribosomal RNA is filed under the name uncultured organism. RNAcentral's name for it is "16S ribosomal RNA". It matches the Rfam family "Bacterial small subunit ribosomal RNA". The record is from RNAcentral.
GAUGAACGCUAGCUACAGGCUUAACACAUGCAAGUCGAGGGGCAGCAUGGUCUUAGCUUGCUAAGGCCGAUGGCGACCGGCGCACGGGUGAGUAACACGUAUCCAACCUGCCGUCUACUCUUGGACAGCCUUCUGAAAGGAAGAUUAAUACAAGAUGGCAUCAUGAGUCCACAUGUUCACAUGAUUAAAGGUAUUCCGGUAGACGAUGGGGAUGCGUUCCAUUAGAUAGUAGGCGGGGUAACGGCCCACCUAGUCUUCGAUGGAUAGGGGUUCUGAGAGGAAGGUCCCCCACAUUGGAACUGAGACACGGUCCAAACUCCUACGGGAGGCAGCAGUGAGGAAUAUUGGUCAAUGGGCGAGAGCCUGAACCAGCCAAGUAGCGUGAAGGAUGACUGCCCUAUGGGUUGUAAACUUCUUUUAUAAAGGAAUAAAGUCGGGUAUGCAUACCCGUUUGCAUGUACUUUAUGAAUAAGGAUCGGCUAACUCCGUGCCAGCAGCCGCGGUAAUACGGAGGAUCCGAGCGUUAUCCGGAUUUAUUGGGUUUAAAGGGAGCGUAGAUGGAUGUUUAAGUCAGUUGUGAAAGUUUGCGGCUCAACCGUAAAAUUGCAGUUGAUACUGGAUAUCUUGAGUGCAGUUGAGGCAGGCGGAAUUCGUGGUGUAGCGGUGAAAUGCUUAGAUAUCACGAAGAACUCCGAUUGCGAAGGCAGCCUGCUAAGCUGCAACUGACAUUGAGGCUCGAAAGUGUGGGUAUCAAACAGGAUUAGAUACCCUGGUAGUCCACACGGUAAACGAUGAAUACUCGCUGUUUGCGAUAUACUGCAAGCGGCCAAGCGAAAGCGUUAAGUAUUCCACCUGGGGAGUACGCCGGCAACGGUGAAACUCAAAGGAAUUGACGGGGGCCCGCACAAGCGGAGGAACAUGUGGUUUAAUUCGAUGAUACGCGAGGAACCUUACCCGGGCUUAAAUUGCAGAUGAAUUACGGUGAAAGCCGUAAGCCGCAAGGCAUCUGUGAAGGUGCUGCAUGGUUGUCGUCAGCUCGUGCCGUGAGGUGUCGGCUUAAGUGCCAUAACGAGCGCAACCCUUGUUGUCAGUUACUAACAGGUUCCGCUGAGGACUCUGACAAGACUGCCAUCGUAAGAUGUGAGGAAGGUGGGGAUGACGUCAAAUCAGCACGGCCCUUACGUCCGGGGCUACACACGUGUUACAAUGGGGGGUACAGAGGGCCGCUACCACGCGAGUGGAUGCCAAUCCCAAAAACCUCUCUCAGUUCGGACUGGAGUCUGCAACCCGACUCCACGAAGCUGGAUUCGCUAGUAAUCGCGCAUCAGCCACGGCGCGGUGAAUACGUUCCCGGGCCUUGUACACACCGCCCGUCAAGCCAUGGGAGCCGGGGGUACCUGAAGUGCGUAACCGCGAGGAGCGCCCUAGGGUAAAACUGGUGACUGGGGC